GACGAACGCUGGCGGCGUGCUUAACACAUGCAAGUCGAACGGAAAGGCCCUGCUUUUGUGGGAUGCUCGAGUGGCGAACGGGUGAGUAACACGUGAGUAACCUGCCCUUGACUUUGGGAUAACUUCAGGAAACUGGGGCUAAUACCGGAUAGGAGUUCCUGCUGCAUGGUGGGGGUUGGAAAGUUUCGGCGGUUGGGGAUGGACUCGCGGCUUAUCAGCUUGUUGGUGGGGUAGUGGCUUACCAAGGCUUUGACGGGUAGCCGGCCUGAGAGGGUGACCGGCCACAUUGGGACUGAGAUACGGCCCAGACUCCUACGGGAGGCAGCAGUGGGGAAUAUUGCACAAUGGGCGGAAGCCUGAUGCAGCAACGCCGCGUGCGGGAUGACGGCCUUCGGGUUGUAAACCGCUUUCGCCUGUGACGAAGCGUGAGUGACGGUAAUGGGUAAAGAAGCACCGGCUAACUACGUG
RNAcentral lists this ribosomal RNA (468 nucleotides) under uncultured bacterium. RNAcentral describes it as "partial 16S ribosomal RNA". It matches the Rfam family "Bacterial small subunit ribosomal RNA", at positions 28 to 507 of the family's 1533-position model. The record is from RNAcentral.